GGGGGCGAACAGGGUUCGACCGGAUAGGCGAAGCGUAAGUGGCGUGUCGUGGUUGAUCGGUGGCCCACGUAAAAAGCCGAUCGCAACCUUCAAUUGCCGAAGGUAACUACGCUUUGGCUGCCUAGAUUUAGGCUGCCCGUUUGCCAGCAGCUCGCCGGAAGCAGCUGACCGAACGUAUAACCCCCUCCGGACCGCUGCGAGUCAUUGCUGAGCACGCUCGCGGUUAAAUAAGUUCUUGGCUAGUGCGUUGGUAGCCCUGCCCGCGAGGCGCCCAACGUGCGAAAUCAAAACUCGUAGGACACACACGUAGAAGCUUGCGUGGAGAUAUUACGGGACGCGGGUUCGAUUCCCGCCGCCUCCAC
RNAcentral lists this transfer-messenger RNA (362 nucleotides) under Aeoliella mucimassa. Its description in RNAcentral is "Planctomycetes bacterium Pan181 transfer-messenger RNA, SsrA". It matches the Rfam family "transfer-messenger RNA". From Rfam's summary of the family: Bacterial tmRNA, also known as 10Sa RNA or SsrA, is named for its dual tRNA and mRNA-like properties. Its role is to liberate the mRNA from a stalled ribosome. Lineage: Bacteria; Pseudomonadati; Planctomycetota; Planctomycetia; Pirellulales; Lacipirellulaceae. The record is from RNAcentral.